Molecule: ribosomal RNA, 365 nt
Filed under: uncultured bacterium
Lineage: Bacteria
Description: partial 16S ribosomal RNA
Rfam family: Bacterial small subunit ribosomal RNA
Source: RNAcentral
UGGGGAAUUUUGGACAAUGGGCGCAAGCCUGAUCCAGCCAUGCCGCGUGCGGGAAGAAGGCCUUCGGGUUGUAAACCGCUUUUGUCAGGGAAGAAAUCUUCUGAGUUAAUACCUCGGGAGGAUGACGGUACCUGAAGAAUAAGCACCGGCUAACUACGUGCCAGCAGCCGCGGUAAUACGUAGGGUGCAAGCGUUAAUCGGAAUUACUGGGCGUAAAGCGUGCGCAGGCGGUUUUGUAAGACAGAGGUGAAAUCCCCGGGCUCAACCUGGGAACUGCCUUUGUGACUGCAAGGCUUGAGUGCGGCAGAGGGGGAUGGAAUUCCGCGUGUAGCAGUGAAAUUGCGUAGAUAUGCGGAGGAACACCG